Molecule: long non-coding RNA, 1797 nt
Organism: Daucus carota subsp. sativus
Lineage: Eukaryota; Viridiplantae; Streptophyta; Magnoliopsida; Apiales; Apiaceae
Exons: 2
Source: RefSeq, a predicted model, not a curated record
AACUGUGUUACAUUUUUCAAUUUUUGUUCAAUACUCUGACUAGUCUUGUUUUGACAUUCGAACUUGAUAUAUUAUUGUCCAGUUGAAACUUGCCUUGCCAGAAUUUUUAGUUAGUUAGCCUCCUCUACUUUUAGACAGCAAGUCCAUCGUAGAAUAAUUUAGUAGUAGAGUGCAUCAAUCUAAAUACACUUUAUAAUAUGUAAAGCUCAGAUUAUUCGUUUACUUGGUCUUUCAUCUGUCAAUUUUUUCCUCUUGGCAACUAAGAAAACAGUACAAUAGCUAUAGUUGCCCUCCCUCACAGAAUAAUCACAUUCUACUUUCUCGAUUUUAAAUUUCAAGAUUUCCGAAAUUUAGGCUGUGUUCACUUGGAUGGAAUGGAAUAUAGGGAAUGUGGAAUGAAAUUUGUAUUCUAAAUUGGAUGUGAUCGAAGGAAAUGUCUAUAGUUUUUAUUUCUUAAUUCCAUUCCAACUAUUUGAACUACAAAUUUAACUCAUAUAUUUUUGGAAAGAAUGCUCAGUGCGCUUAUUCAUCAUGUUUUCCUAUAAUUUUCAUCAUAACAAAUUUAUACCAAUUUAUGUUUAGUCACUAUUAUGUCAUACUUUCUUCUUUCUCCAUAUUUUCUUUUUUUUACAAUUUUUCAUUACAUUCUCCUCUAUUCCAUUCCAUCCAAUUGAAAGCAACCUUAAAAUUGUAUUCGGAUUUGAACUCCGGUACGGUGUUGCCUUAAAAAUCGCAUAUACUCAUACAUUACACUACACAUGCAUAGCUGCUUGCUUGGUAAUCCAUUUAAAAGAUAAAUUUGUGCUAGAAAAACAUUGGCACAACAGUUAUUUUUUGUGCUAUAAAAACAUUGGUGCAACAGUGAUUUAUAGUGCAUUUUUCACAACUAAUUAACCAGGAUGUAGUAAUAUAGGAAGAGGUAUGCAUUAUAAUUAAAAAGCAAUACAUAUUAAGACCUGAUUGCAUCCUAGCUGGGACGCGUUUGCAGCAAGGGAAAUAACGUGCCAAGGACUAGUAAUAACUCAACAAACGCCAGGUCCUCUGGCUAUUACAAUCUACCAAACUCAACUUACAAUGGCACACGUCUAACACAAACGUGCAUACAGCAUUCCCUUUAGAUGCCACUGCAUAUAUACAUGCUUCUAUUUAUGUAUGGAUCGCAGCUUUUGCAACUGUCUAUCUCUCAAGUCACUCGAAAUAAACCAGGCUCAAGAUUGUGAGAAAGUGUGUUCGUAAAAAUAUGUGAAAUCGAAUGAUUUCCAAGGGUUUGCUGGGUCAAAAGAUGGCAUUCUCGGAGGGAGGCUUGUAACUCCUCAAUGCAGUGAUGUUGGGAAGAUCCACAUCGAGUAAAAACAGAGGAUCAAUCCAAGACGCGUAUAUAUUGAGAAGUAUGUAUAAAAAUAAUAAAUUUUCAGUACCCAUCUCGCAGACAUGCAUGAGUUGCCAAAGGCGGACCUACGUUUACAGGAAUGGGGCAUGUCCCCCAAUCAAUUCUGAGCCCAAGUCUGUUUGAUGAAAUUCAGUACUAGUGUCCUGUAGUCUAGCAUAAUGGGAUGGUAUUUGUAGAAAAAAACAAGUUCCAAUUCAUUAAAAAUGCAAUUCUAACAGCUUAGUUUAGGUUCAAGAGCUGUUAGGUUCAAAUAUUACGUGUAUACGAUAUAUUUGGACAGAUUUUGGUCAUAUAAAAAGAGUUGUUGUGCUCCCAGUUAAUUUCGAUUCUGGGUCCGUAACUGUUUGCGUAUGUUUUUUUGGAAGAAUUGUGAUGUUUGUUGCCAUUAAGUAUCAUCUGAUUGUGAA